GGUUGUGGCUCAGUGGCAGAGCACUUGCCUAGCAUGUGUGAGGCACUGGGUUUGAUCCUCAGUACCA
This 67-nucleotide transfer RNA is filed under the name Marmota monax (woodchuck). RNAcentral describes it as "tRNA.Ala". The record is from RNAcentral. Lineage: Eukaryota; Metazoa; Chordata; Mammalia; Rodentia; Sciuridae.